AGUGAACGCUGGCGGUAGGCCUAACACAUGCGAGUCGAACGGCAGCACAGUAAGAGCUUGCUCUUACGGGUGGCGAGUGGCGGACGGGUGAGGAAUACAUCGGAAUCUACUUUUUCGUGGGGGAUAACGUAGGGAAACUUACGCUAAUACCGCAUACGACCUGCGGGUGAAAGCAGGGGAUCUUCGGACCUUGCGCGAUUGAAUGAGCCGAUGUCGGAUUAGCUAGUUGGCGGGGUAAAGGCCCACCAAGGCGACGAUCCGUAGAUGGUCUGAGAGGAUGAUAGGCCGCACUGGAACUGGGACACGGUCCAGACUCCUACGGGAGGCAGCAGUGGGGAAUAUUGGACAAUGAGCGCAAGCCUGAUCCAGCCAUACCGCGUGGGUGAAGAAGGCCUUCGGGUUGUAAAGCCCUUUUGUUGGGAAAGAAAAGCAGCAGGUUAAUACCCCGCUGUUCUGACGGUACCCAAAGAAUAAGCACCGGCUAACUUCGUG
Molecule: ribosomal RNA, 492 nt
Filed under: uncultured bacterium
Lineage: Bacteria
Description: partial 16S ribosomal RNA
Rfam family: Bacterial small subunit ribosomal RNA
Source: RNAcentral